CUGAGGAAUAAUAUGGGUUUAUGUGGUUGUGAAUUGACUUUGGGUUUACACUCGAUGUGGCUACAAAACAAUGUGACAGUGCGCGUGCUCGUUUGUGAAGCUGGGACCCCACUUGACAAAGCUGUCCUAACCUGCCCAGACAUGCCAUGAUGACGUCACAGCUGACGUCACAGGAUGUCCAGAACUUGUGGUCACAGCUGAAGAUGCUUUGCAACCUGCCUCUGUGCUCCGUCGCCCAGCGAUGAUUAGCGGCCGUUCCGGACCGCUUUCUUCAAGAUGGCGUCGUUGAUCUUCAACUAAACGCCUUCUCUCCACUCUAUCUCUAUCUAUUUUUUUUUCUUUUUUAUGAACACAGGUUGCCCCCAACUCACAGCUGGCCUGAACAUGAGUUAGACGCUCCCCAAUUAGUGUGAUGACUCACUGGAUGAUGCUGAUUACUGUGGGGGGUCCUAAUUAACUCUAAUUGCUAAUUAAAUCGUGUUUAAGGCUAGUUGCGAGUUGGCAGUAGUCUGUGUUCAGUUAUUACUACUGUCCUGACACAGAUGUUUCAGGCAUGCCUGCAAGUGGGCGACCUCUAGCCUCACCCUCUUCGCUGGUGGAUUUCAUAGAUCCAUUGGAAGCAACCUUAGAAAGCUAAAGAAGAAGUUCAGGUAGAAAGGAGACUGGCUGACCGCGAUGAUAGAAAAAUGGGGAACUUACGAUUAUAUGACGCAGAAUACAGCAGCGUAGCUUUUGGUGAGAAGCCAAGAGGUCGUUUUUCAAGCUUUGCUUCCACCUCUUCUGAGCUCCGCGAUCCACACGCUGUUUUCCAUAAUGAACAAGCCUGAGCGUGGGCGACAACGAAACCAGAUGACACACGAUAAGUGCGACGACGGACUUCAACCAUCAGCUUGCCUAAAUUGACUCAUUUUUUUAAUAGUUAUACUUGGUCUUUAUAAUUUUCUUCCGCCGGUUCACGCCGCUUGGACAUGCUGCGACGGUGGUGGCAUUGAUUUGUUCGGCGCGCCUAUUAAAGGUGAUGUGAUGUGGCUCGGGA
Molecule: long non-coding RNA, 1036 nt
Organism: Ornithodoros turicata
Lineage: Eukaryota; Metazoa; Arthropoda; Arachnida; Ixodida; Argasidae
Exons: 3
Source: RefSeq, a predicted model, not a curated record